GCAAUAAAGCUUUCUCUUAAAAUCCAUACUAAUACUAUAAAUGCGAAAGUGUGUCUGUCUGUCUGUCUGCUACGUUUUCACGGCUCAACCGCUGAACCGAUUUUAAUGAAAUUGGGUACAGAGUAAGCUUACAGCCCGGGGACGGACCUAGGCUACUGUUUAUCCCGGAAAAUCAAAGAGUUCCCACGGGAU
This is a long non-coding RNA of Maniola jurtina (meadow brown), 192 nucleotides long. RefSeq lists it as uncharacterized. The transcript is spliced from 3 exons. The record is from RefSeq and is a predicted model, not a curated record. Lineage: Eukaryota; Metazoa; Arthropoda; Insecta; Lepidoptera; Nymphalidae.